Molecule: long non-coding RNA, 561 nt
Organism: Brachypodium distachyon (stiff brome)
Lineage: Eukaryota; Viridiplantae; Streptophyta; Magnoliopsida; Poales; Poaceae
Exons: 3
Source: RefSeq, a predicted model, not a curated record
UCUCCGUCAGCAUCGAGGCCUUCCCUUUCGCAGUAUCCCACGCAACGCCGGCCGGCCGGCCGGCCAGAAUCCUCCAGUCCUUCUCCUCCCCUCUUUCCCUUCCUACAAGCGAAUCCAGAACCUAUUGCCGGCGAGAUACCCACGGAGUCAUGGACCGGCGACAGGAGACGAGGAAGAGCGAGGCCAAUCGGUCACGGGCGCAUCGGCGGCCGGCAUUCUCUCGGCCGCGGGAGUCGCCGCCGUCGGCCACUACUCUGGGCCCGUCUUCCCAGCGCAUGUGAGUUUGGAUGGGCAUCCAAGUUAGCAUUGGAAGCUGGCAACUUGUUUCGGCCCUCACUCGGUUCCGAUCAGAGCAUAUAUCCAGCUGUUCCACGUUGGAUGGCCUUACCACUUAUGCACACCCAGGUUAGCAUUGCAAGUUGGCAACUUGUUUCGGUCCUCACUCGGUAACCAUCUAGUACCUUGGAUCCAAAAUAAGUAUUUGUACUAAAUCAGCCACAUUUAUUUUGGAUAAGAGGAAGUAGUAUUAUGCUUAAUCUAGUUAUCAGCCAGGUUGUAUUA